RNAcentral lists this ribosomal RNA (401 nucleotides) under uncultured bacterium. RNAcentral describes it as "bacterial SSU rRNA". It matches the Rfam family "Bacterial small subunit ribosomal RNA", at positions 30 to 433 of the family's 1533-position model. The record is from RNAcentral.
AUUGAACGCUGGCGGCAUGCCUUACACAUGCAAGUCGAACGGCAGCACGGGAGCAAUCCUGGUGGCGAGUGGCGAACGGGUGAGUAAUAUAUCGGAACGUGCCCAGUGUGGGGGAUAACGUUCGGAAACGGACGCUAAUACCGCAUACGUCCUACGGGAGAAAGCGGGGGAUCUUCGGACCUCGCGCCAUUAGAUGAGCCUAGGUCGGAUUAGCUAGUUGGUGAGGUAAUGGCUCACCAAGGCGACGAUCCGUAACUGGUCUGAGAGGAUGAUCAGUCACACUGGAACUGAGACACGGUCCAGACUCCUACGGGAGGCAGCAUGGGGAAUAUUGGACAAUGGGCGAAAGCCUGAUCCAGCCAUGCCGCGUGUGUGAAGAAGGCCUUAGGGUUGUAAAGCUC